UACAGAGGUCUCGAGCGUUGUUUCGGAUUCAUUGGGACGUAAAGCGCGUGGUAGGCGGCCGUGCAAAGUUCGGGUGUGAAAGCCCUCGGCUCAACCGAAGGAAGUGCGCCCGAAACUUGCAUGGCUUGAGUACCGGAGAGGAUGGCGGAAUUCCCCAAGUAGAGGUGAAAAUUCGUAGAUAUGGGGAAGGAACACCGGAUGGCGAAGGCGGCCAUCUGGACGGAUACGUGACGCUGAGACGGCGAAAAGCGUGGGGAGCAAACA
Molecule: ribosomal RNA, 264 nt
Filed under: uncultured bacterium
Lineage: Bacteria
Description: partial 16S ribosomal RNA
Rfam family: Bacterial small subunit ribosomal RNA
Source: RNAcentral